This 253-nucleotide ribosomal RNA is filed under the name uncultured bacterium. RNAcentral describes it as "partial 16S ribosomal RNA". It matches the Rfam family "Bacterial small subunit ribosomal RNA", at positions 524 to 776 of the family's 1533-position model. The record is from RNAcentral.
UACGAAGGGGGCUAGCGUUGCUCGGAAUCACUGGGCGUAAAGCGCACGUAGGCGGAUUGCUAAGUCAGGGGUGAAAUCCUGGAGCUCAACUCCAGAACUGCCUUUGAUACUGGCGACCUUGAGUCCUGGAGAGGAAGGUGGAAUGCUUGGUGUAGAGGUGAAAUUCGUAGAUAUCAAGCGGAACACCGGUGGCGAAGGCGGCCUUCUGGACAGUGACUGACGCUGAGACGCGAAAGCGUGGGGAGCAAACAGG